UUAAGCGACUAAGCGUACACGGUGGAUGCCCUGGCAGUCAGAGGCGAUGAAGGACGUGCUAAUCUGCGAUAAGCGCCGGUAAGGUGAUAUGAACCGUUAUAACCGGCGAUUUCCGAAUGGGGAAACCCAGUGUGAUUCGUCACACUAUCAUUAACUGAAUCCAUAGGUUAAUGAGGCGAACCGGGGGAACUGAAACAUCUAAGUACCCGAGGAAAAGAAAUCAACCGAGAUUCCCCCCAGUAGCGGCGAGCGAACGGGGAGGAGCCCAGAGCCUGAAUCAGCAUGUGUGUUAGUGGAAGCGUCUGGAAAGGCGCGCGAUACAGGGUGACAGCCCCGUACACAAAAGCGCAUGUGCUGUGAGCUCGAUGAGUAGGGGCGGGACACGUGGUAUCCUGUCUGAAUAUGGGGGGACCAUCCUCCAAGGCUAAAUACUCCUGACUGACCGAUAGUGAACCAGUACCGUGAGGGAAAGGCGAAAAGAACCCCGGCGAGGGGAGUGAAAAAGAACCUGAAACCGUGUACGUACAAGCAGUGGGAGCACCCUUCGGGGUGUGACUGCGUACCUUUUGUAUAAUGGGUCAGCGACUUAUAUUCUGUAGCAAGGUUAACCGUAUAGGGGAGCCGGAGGGAAACCGAGUCUUAAUUGGGCGUUAAGUUGCAGGGUAUAGACCCGAAACCCGGUGAUCUAGCCAUGGGCAGGUUGAAGGUUGGGUAACACUAACUGGAGGACCGAACCGACUAAUGUUGAAAAAUUAGCGGAUGACCUGUGGCUGGGGGUGAAAGGCCAAUCAAACCGGGAGAUAGCUGGUUCUCCCCGAAAGCUAUUUAGGUAGCGCCUCGUGAAUUCAUCUCCGGGGGUAGAGCACUGUUUCGGCUAGGGGGCCCAUCCCGGCUUACCAACCCGAUGCAAACUGCGAAUACCGGAGAAUGUUAUCACGGGAGACACACGGCGGGUGCUAACGUCCGUCGUGAAGAGGGAAACAACCCAGACCGCCAGCUAAGGUCCCAAAGUCCAUGGUUAAGUGGGAAACGAUGUGGGAAGGCCCAGACAGCCAGGAUGUUGGCUUAGAAGCAGCCAUCAUUUAAAGAAAGCGUAAUAGCUCACUGGUCGAGUCGGCCUGCGCGGAAGAUGUAACGGGGCUAAACCAUGCACCGAAGCUGCGGCAGCGAACGUAUCACCCAAGACAACUUUACGGAGUUGACGAUUGACGGAGCGAAGCGACGUCAAAGCGUUCAUUAAAGUCGAGUUGGCUUAGGGAUACGUUCGUUGGGUAGGGGAGCGUUCUGUAAGCCUGUGAAGGUGUGUCGUGAGGCAUGCUGGAGGUAUCAGAAGUGCGAAUGCUGACAUAAGUAACGAUAAAGCGGGUGAAAAGCCCGCUCGCCGGAAGACCAAGGGUUCCUGUCCAACGUUAAUCGGGCAGGGUGAGUCGACCCCUAAGGCGAGGCCGAAAGGCGUAGUCGAUGGGAAACGGGUUAAUAUUCCCGUACUUGGUGUUACUGCGAAGGGGGGACGGAGAAGGCUAUGUUGGCCGGGCGACGGUUGUCCCGGUUUAAGCGUGUAGGUGUGUGUUCCAGGUAAAUCCGGUUCACUUUAACACUGAGGCGUGACGACGAGGCACUACGGUGCUGAAGCAACAAAUGCCCUGCUUCCAGGAAAAGCCUCUAAGCAUCAGGUAACACGAAAUCGUACCCCAAACCGACACAGGUGGUCAGGUAGAGAAUACCAAGGCGCUUGAGAGAACUCGGGUGAAGGAACUAGGCAAAAUGGUGCCGUAACUUCGGGAGAAGGCACGCUGACACGUAGGUGAAGUGAUUUACUCAUGGAGCUGAAGUCAGUCGAAGAUACCAGCUGGCUGCAACUGUUUAUUAAAAACACAGCACUGUGCAAACACGAAAGUGGACGUAUACGGUGUGACGCCUGCCCGGUGCCGGAAGGUUAAUUGAUGGGGUCAGCGUAAGCGAAGCUCCUGAUCGAAGCCCCGGUAAACGGCGGCCGUAACUAUAACGGUCCUAAGGUAGCGAAAUUCCUUGUCGGGUAAGUUCCGACCUGCACGAAUGGCGUAAUGAUGGCCAGGCUGUCUCCACCCGAGACUCAGUGAAAUUGAACUCGCUGUGAAGAUGCAGUGUACCCGCGGCAAGACGGAAAGACCCCGUGAACCUUUACUAUAGCUUGACACUGAACAUUGAGCCUUGAUGUGUAGGAUAGGUGGGAGGCUUUGAAGUGUGGACGCCAGUCUGCAUGGAGCCGACCUUGAAAUACCACCCUUUAAUGUUUGAUGUUCUAACGUGGACCCGUAAUCCGGGUUGCGGACAGUGUCUGGUGGGUAGUUUGACUGGGGCGGUCUCCUCCUAAAGAGUAACGGAGGAGCACGAAGGUUGGCUAAUCCUGGUCGGACAUCAGGAGGUUAGUGCAAUGGCAUAAGCCAGCUUGACUGCGAGCGUGACGGCGCGAGCAGGUGCGAAAGCAGGUCAUAGUGAUCCGGUGGUUCUGAAUGGAAGGGCCAUCGCUCAACGGAUAAAAGGUACUCCGGGGAUAACAGGCUGAUACCGCCCAAGAGUUCAUAUCGACGGCGGUGUUUGGCACCUCGAUGUCGGCUCAUCACAUCCUGGGGCUGAAGUAGGUCCCAAGGGUAUGGCUGUUCGCCAUUUAAAGUGGUACGCGAGCUGGGUUUAGAACGUCGUGAGACAGUUCGGUCCCUAUCUGCCGUGGGCGCUGGAGAACUGAGGGGGGCUGCUCCUAGUACGAGAGGACCGGAGUGGACGCAUCACUGGUGUUCGGGUUGUCAUGCCAAUGGCACUGCCCGGUAGCUAAAUGCGGAAGAGAUAAGUGCUGAAAGCAUCUAAGCACGAAACUUGCCCCGAGAUGAGUUCUCCCUGAGACUUAGAGUCUCCUGAAGGAACGUUGAAGACGACGACGUUGAUAGGCCGGGUGUGUAAGCGCAGCGAUGCGUUGAGCUAACCGGUACUAAUGAACCGUGAGGCUUAACCUU
RNAcentral lists this ribosomal RNA (2990 nucleotides) under Salmonella enterica subsp. enterica. RNAcentral's name for it is "bacterial LSU rRNA". It matches the Rfam family "Bacterial large subunit ribosomal RNA". The record is from RNAcentral. Lineage: Bacteria; Pseudomonadati; Pseudomonadota; Gammaproteobacteria; Enterobacterales; Enterobacteriaceae.